ACCUUUCAGGUUGCAGCCUGAUCUUUUAGGCUGAUGGCUGGUGACUUUUUGGUCACCAGCCU
Pantoea sp. PSNIH2 is the source of this 62-nucleotide non-coding RNA. NCBI's taxonomy places the organism in Bacteria, Pseudomonadati, Pseudomonadota, Gammaproteobacteria, Enterobacterales, Erwiniaceae. The record is from Rfam.